This 474-nucleotide ribosomal RNA is filed under the name uncultured Alphaproteobacteria bacterium. RNAcentral describes it as "bacterial SSU rRNA". It matches the Rfam family "Bacterial small subunit ribosomal RNA", at positions 8 to 526 of the family's 1533-position model. Lineage: Bacteria; Pseudomonadati; Pseudomonadota; Alphaproteobacteria. The record is from RNAcentral.
AGAGUUUGAUCCUGGCUCAGAACGAACGCUGGCGGCAGGCCUAACACAUGCAAGUCGAGCGCACCUUUUCGGAGGUGAGCGGCGCACGGGUGAGUAACGCGUGGGAACCUACCCUGGGGUAGGGGAUAACCGCUGGAAACGGCGGCUAAUACCCUAUACGUCCUUCGGGAGAAAGAUUUAUCGCCCUGGGAUGGGCCCGCGUCGGAUUAGCUAGUUGGUGGGGUAAAGGCUCACCAAGGCGACGAUCCGUAGCUGGUCUGAGAGGAUGAUCAGCCACACUGGGACUGAGACACGGCCCAGACUCCUACGGGAGGCAGCAGUGGGGAAUAUUGGACAAUGGGCGCAAGCCUGAUCCAGCCAUGCCGCGUGAGUGAAGAAGGCCUUAGGGUUGUAAAGCUCUUUCACCCGCGAAGAUGAUGACGGUAGCGGGAGAAGAAGCCCCGGCUAACUCCGUGCCAGCAGCCGCGGUAAUUC